AGUAUCUGCCGCGCUAGUGGUUCACCGGCUCGGCUCAACCGGGCCGGUGAGGCAAGAGGGAACCCGGUGGGAAUCCGGGACUGCCCCGCAGCGGUGAGUGGGAACGAAAGCCGUCAACGAAGCACUGGGUCGCGAGACCUGGGAAGCGACGGCCGGUAGGCGCCAGAGGUACGCCCACGAGUCCGAAGACCUGCCAUUGGUGUGCGCGCAAG
This 212-nucleotide non-coding RNA is filed under the name Lentzea albidocapillata. The record is from RNAcentral. Lineage: Bacteria; Bacillati; Actinomycetota; Actinomycetes; Pseudonocardiales; Pseudonocardiaceae.